This 491-nucleotide ribosomal RNA is filed under the name uncultured bacterium. RNAcentral describes it as "partial 16S ribosomal RNA". It matches the Rfam family "Bacterial small subunit ribosomal RNA", at positions 29 to 506 of the family's 1533-position model. The record is from RNAcentral.
AGUGAACGCUGGCGGUAGGCCUAACACAUGCAAGUCGAACGGCAGCACAGUAAGAGCUUGCUCUUACGGGUGGCGAGUGGCGGACGGGUGAGGAAUACAUCGGAAUCUACUUUUUCGUGGGGGAUAACGUAGGGAAACUUACGCUAAUACCGCAUACGACCUACGGGUGAAAGCAGGGGAUCUUCGGACCUUGCGCGAUUGAAUGAGCCGAUGUCGGAUUAGCUAGUUGGCGGGGUAAAGGCCCACCAAGGCGACGAUCCGUAGCUGGUCUGAGAGGAUGAUCAGCCACACUGGAACUGAGACACGGUCCAGAAUCCUACGGGAGGCAGCAGUGGGGAAUAUUGGACAAUGGGCGCAAGCCUGAUCCAGCCAUACCGCGUGGGUGAAGAAGGCCUUCGGGUGGUAAAGCCCUUUUGUUGGGAAAGAAAAGCAGCAGGUUAAUACCCCGCUGUUCUGACGGUACCCAAAGAAUAAGCACCGGCUAACUUCGU